MicroRNA precursor from Nannospalax galili (Upper Galilee mountains blind mole rat), 123 nucleotides. Lineage: Eukaryota; Metazoa; Chordata; Mammalia; Rodentia; Spalacidae. The record is from Ensembl.
UCUCCUUGUAGCCCCAGCUGUCCUGGAACUCACUCUGUAGACCAGGCUGGCCUCGAACUCACAAGGAUCCUCCUGCCUCUGCCUCCCGAGUGCUGGGAUUAAAGGCGUGUGCCACCAUACCUG